This 425-nucleotide ribosomal RNA is filed under the name uncultured bacterium. Its description in RNAcentral is "bacterial SSU rRNA". It matches the Rfam family "Bacterial small subunit ribosomal RNA", at positions 356 to 773 of the family's 1533-position model. The record is from RNAcentral.
GGGGAAUAUUGGACAAUGGGGGCAAUCCUGAUCCAGCCAUGCCGCGUGUGUGAAGAAGGCCUUCGAGUUGUAAAGCACUUUAAGCGGGGAGGAAGGCCUGAUGGUUAAUAUCCAUCGGGAUUGACGUUACCCGCAGAAUAAGCACCGGCAAACUUCGUGCCAGCAGUUGCGGUAAUACGAAGGGUGCGAGCGUUAAUCGGAAUUACUGGGCGUAAAGCGCGCGUAGGUGGUUAAGUAAGCGAUCUGUGAAAGCCCCGGGUUUAACCUGGGAACUGCAGGUCGAACUGCUUGGCUAGAGUAUGGUAGAGGGGUGUGGAAUUUCCUGUGUAGCGGUGAAAUGCGUAGAUAUAGGAAGGAACAUUAGUGGCGAAGGCGACACCCUGGACCGAUACUGACACUGAGGCGCGAAAGCGUGGGUAGCGAAC